AGCCAGACUCCUACGGGAGGCAGCAGUGGGGGAUAUUGCACAAUGGGGGGAACCCUGAUGCAGCGACGCCGCGUGAGGGAAGACGGCCUUCGGGUUGUAAACCUCUGUCGCAGGGGACGAAGGAGAUGACGGUACCCUGUGAGGAAGCCACGGCUAACUACGUGCCAGCAGCCGCGGUAAUACGUAGGUGGCGAGCGUUGUCCGGAAUUACUGGGUGUAAAGGGAGCGCAGACGGCAGUGCAAGUCUGGAGUGAAAGCCCGUGGCUUAACUACGGGACUGCUCUGGAAACUGUGCAGCUAGAGUGCAGGAGAGGCAGGCGGAAUUCCUAGUGUAGCGGUGAAAUGCGUAGAUAUUAGGAGGAACACCGGUGGCGAAGGCGGCCUGCUGGACUGUGACUGACGUUGAGGCUCGAAAGCGUGGGGAGCAAACAGGAUUAGAUACCCCUGUA
Molecule: ribosomal RNA, 449 nt
Filed under: uncultured bacterium
Lineage: Bacteria
Description: partial 16S ribosomal RNA
Rfam family: Bacterial small subunit ribosomal RNA
Source: RNAcentral